CCUUGUAAUGUUGACUCUUGGGCUCCAUCUAGUGGCGACAUUGCAGUUCUGCAGGGAGCUGUGAUUUGGAUUUACCUCAACCCAGGUAAGAAAAGGGUUGGAGUUGGAGUUGGGAUUGUUGAACCGAGGACAACACCAGAGGCGGCGUCACAGGUGGAUCUCUCUCUCCUGGCGAUCUGAAUGGUGUCAGCACUCCUGUAGGCUCACACACCGGUUUGACAAGCCUGCAUGGAAGCUGCACUGCUGAUGUCACAACAAGGGGCCAAUUCCUCACCUAUAAAGGAAACUCUAGAUGUGAGCAAACAGGGAGGGGAUUGGUAACCUGAGAAGCACACAAAAGCUUCAAGAUCCUGUGAUCAGGUUUACUUGUAAAAAUGUAC
Molecule: long non-coding RNA, 380 nt
Organism: Sebastes umbrosus (honeycomb rockfish)
Lineage: Eukaryota; Metazoa; Chordata; Actinopteri; Perciformes; Sebastidae
Exons: 3
Source: RefSeq, a predicted model, not a curated record